UCCCUGAUGGUACAGUGGGUGGGAGUCCACCUGCCAGUGCAGGGGACACAGGUUCAAUCCCUGGUCUGGGAG
RNAcentral lists this transfer RNA (72 nucleotides) under Bos taurus (domestic cattle). It matches the Rfam family "tRNA". Rfam says of the family: Transfer RNA (tRNA) molecules are approximately 80 nucleotides in length. Their secondary structure includes four short double-helical elements and three loops (D, anti-codon, and T loops). RNAcentral also lists the same sequence under 2 other names. Lineage: Eukaryota; Metazoa; Chordata; Mammalia; Artiodactyla; Bovidae. The record is from Rfam by way of RNAcentral.